CAAAGAGCAACUUGCAGCAAAAUCUUAUAGGAACCAAGUGAUCUUCCCAUACCCUGCACAGUGAGGCUGUAAAGAGGAAAGUACAUGUACUCCAGCAAACCCUGUGGGGAUGUAGGGCUUGAGCUGAAGUGAUUUGAUUUGAUGCAAAGCUUGAGUAGCUGUGAGGAGAGGCGGGGGGGAAACCCCACCACUCAUAAUGAGGAAGAUGGGACAAAACGCUACAGGGUUUUCAUUUCUGAAGUGUGCCGGUAACAAAGAUUCUGCAGGGCAAAUUCCAUUCUCAGAUGAACGUGUGCAGCACCACUGCCUUCAGAUUCUGUCUUGUUAAAUUUGUGCACCUCAGGGCAGAAUUUAGCCCAAUAAUCACAUCUUAGUUAACAAUUCUGUUACUGAUGCCGGAGCCAGAAUGGAGUCCAACUCUUUUUUGCACUGGUCUUGGCCGUUGCAGGGCCAACAGAAAUAAUCAGAUUCUUCCAAUUUACACUAGUGUGAGUGAGAGAAGAGUUGGAUCCGUUCUGUCUGAGAUGGAAACCAAAUAGUCUCCUAGGGAGAUCAUGUUACAAAAGAAUCCCAUGAAGCUUCAGUAGCUCCUAAAUGUGUUGGCUGACGUGCCUAUCUCCACGAAGAGAGGGAAAGGGCCAAUGGGCCCAGGUGGCACUAGUGGGCUGGGUGCAGAGAGGGGAAGGGCCCAUGGGCCCAGGUGGCACUAGGGGGCUGGGUGCAGAGAGGGGAAGGGCCCGUGGGCACAGGUGGCACUAGGGGGCUGGGUGCAGAGAGGGGAAGGGCCCGUGGGCACAGGGGGCACUAGGGGGCUGGGUGCAGGGGGGAAGGGCCCGUGGGCACAGGGGGCACUAGGGGGCUGGGUGCAGGGGGGAAGGGCCCGUGGGCACAGGGGGCACUAGGGGGCUGGGUGCAGGGGGGAAGGGCCCGUGGGCACAGGUGGCACUAGGGGGCUGGGUGCAGGGGGAAGAGCCCGUGGGCACAGGUGGCACUAGGGGGCUGGGUGCAGGGAGGAGGGGCCCGUGGGCAC
Molecule: long non-coding RNA, 1030 nt
Organism: Gopherus flavomarginatus (Mexican gopher tortoise)
Lineage: Eukaryota; Metazoa; Chordata; Testudines; Testudinidae
Exons: 5
Source: RefSeq, a predicted model, not a curated record